RNA transcript from Solenopsis invicta (red fire ant), 676 nucleotides. RefSeq lists it as uncharacterized. The record is from RefSeq and is a predicted model, not a curated record. NCBI's taxonomy places the organism in Eukaryota, Metazoa, Arthropoda, Insecta, Hymenoptera, Formicidae. The transcript has 2 exons.
CGUACCCUGCAAAAUAACUUCAGUAUCACGCCUUUUUUUCAUUUCAGAAGCAUAUUAUAUGGCGACGCGUGCAUAUUGUAUAGAGAUCGGCGACCAAAGGACAGCCACUAUGGAUAAGUGCGAGACUAGGUCGCGAGAUAUUAGCAUUCCGGAAUUCACCAGAACAUUCUCAUGCAUGCGCCGGCCGACGACCCUUACCCCUUUACUUAACGUCAUUACGACCAAGUUUUGCGGAGGAAUGCGAUCGCCUCGACAAAACUUUCCUCUUUCGUGUAUAAAUACUCGUACGUAGCAAAGUUAUUUUUACUCGUAUAAGAAAUGAAGACAAAAAAAAAAGAAAUUAGAUUAUUCAAAAUAUGCAAUAUUAUUUUUGUGAUUUAUACUUUUGUACUAGAUAAAUAAUAUUUUCCCCAGCGGAUUGCCAUCGCCUCGACAAAACUUUUCUCUUUCGUGUAUAAAUCCUUGUUCGAAAUGGCGAAGUUAUUUUUACUCGUAUAAGAAGUAAAAAGGGAAACAAAAUGGUAUUGCAUUAUUCAAAAUGUUAAGAUCUCGAGUACGGAAUCGGACAGGAUUAUCUUUUUGAAAGUCGAUUAUUUUUCGCGAUAUUGCAAGAACGGAAAACUGAAAGAGCGCGCGAGAUGCAGAGAGUACGCGACAUGAAUCCCACUGACCCCGA